CCUACGGGAGGCAGCAGUGGGGAAUAUUGGACAAUGGGCGCAAGCCUGAUCCAGCAAUGCCGCGUGAGUGAUGAAGGCCUUAGGGUCGUAAAGCUCUUUUACCAGGGAUGAUAAUGACAGUACCUGGAGAAUAAGCUCCGGCUAACUCCGUGCCAGCAGCCGCGGUAAUACGGAGGGAGCUAGCGUUGUUCGGAAUUACUGGGCGUAAAGCGUACGUAGGCGGUUAUUCAAGUCAGAGGUGAAAGCCCGGGGCUCAACCCCGGAACGGCCUUUGAAACUAGGUAGCUAGAAUCUUGGAGAGGUCAGUGGAAUUCCGAGUGUAGAGGUGAAAUUCGUAGAUAUUCGGAAGAACACCAGUGGCGAAGGCGACUGACUGGACAAGUAUUGACGCUGAGGUACGAAAGCGUGGGGAGCAAACAGGAUUAGAUACCCUGGUAGUCCACGCCGUAAACGAUGAUAACUAGCUGUCCGGGCACUUGGUGCCUGGGUGGCGCAGCUAACGCAUUAAGUUAUCCGCCUGGGGAGUACGGUCGCAAGAUUAAAACUCAAAGGAAUUGACGG
Molecule: ribosomal RNA, 561 nt
Filed under: uncultured bacterium
Lineage: Bacteria
Description: bacterial SSU rRNA
Rfam family: Bacterial small subunit ribosomal RNA
Source: RNAcentral